Molecule: ribosomal RNA, 289 nt
Filed under: uncultured bacterium
Lineage: Bacteria
Description: partial 16S ribosomal RNA
Rfam family: Bacterial small subunit ribosomal RNA
Source: RNAcentral
GUGGAUUAGAUACCCUGGUAGUCCACGCCCUAAACGAUGUCGACUAGUUGUUCGGGAAGGUGACUUCUUGAGUAACGUAGCUAACGCGUGAAGUCGACCGCCUGGGGAGUACGGCCGCAAGGUUAAAACUCAAAGGAAUUGACGGGGACCCGCACAAGCGGUGGAUGAUGUGGAUUAAUUCGAUGCAACGCGAAAAACCUUACCUACCCUUGACAUGUCUGGAAGUCUGCAGAGAUGCGGAUGUGCCUUCGGGAACCAGAACACAGGUGCUGCAUGGCCGUCGACAACU